GUUCGCGGAGGAGGAGAGAUACGAGCUGGUUUUGUAAAACAAAAAAUCCAGGAGAAGACAAAGAACGCAGACUGCAGAGUGAAGUGCGCCAUGAAGGAGGAAAGUGCGGACCAGAGCGUGGACACCAGAGGUGUUUCCUCUAUCGUUUGGCAAUCUAGUCAGUGUUUGGAUGCAGCUGGUCUGCGGACAUUCCAAUAUUAGCGAUAGCACGAAGGAGAGCCCGUGAAUCUGAAGACAGGGAAGCCUAGCGCUGACUCAUGAAGAUUUGGAAGCUAGGCCAAUAAGACUUGGACUGGAGAGCUAAGGAGAGUAAAAGGAAUGGUCUCAAUUUACAAUCGUUCAACCUUAAAACUAGGUGAGUGGAUGAAACCGGCUUCCCUUUGACCCUUGACUACAGGUGAGUAGCUGACCCCGCUGUCCCCUCCUUGUUCACCUGGCUGCUUGCGCUGUAGGCUACAGGAGACGUGGUCACACUUGUUCCUUCUCAUUUUCAGCUGACUGAUGAAGCCGCCAGAGGGGAGAAGAAAGAGAGGGGAGGCCAGGAGCCAAGUCCCUGUUACUUAGUCUUCAUGUUUGCUUAAACUCUUGUCCCAAGGCUUGUCGCGUUUGUGUUUGAAGUCUCAUUUGUCUUGUUUCUUGUUCAGGUACAAAGGGUAGCUCUAAACAAAUAUUGGAGCCUUGUGAAGAAAUUCCCCUUAUAGAAGCAUUUCCCUAUAAAAAUAUUGCAUGUUUUCUCUCAUCUGUAGUACCUAGAUUUUAUAUAGGCAUAAAAUCAUAUAUGUAUCUAGGAUACAAAAUUAGAAGCAAAACUGUCUAGGAGAACAAAGGAAACUAAUGGGAGGGGGCAGUGGGAAGAAAAGAGAACAAAAGGAAGUGCAGGAAUAUGCAUAGCAUAAAAGACAUACGCAUAUGGAAAUACCCGUAUGUAGUACAGUGUUGUACAAUAAGUACAUACUAUGGCUUUUAAAACCAAAUCCAUCUACUCAUAAAAGAGAAAACAUUGAUAGUGUGCAGCAUGCAGGUCCAGCAGGAUAAAAGAGUGGUCAAAUUAAAUAAUUUUAUAUAAUGUAUGGCAAUUUUUUCUUGGGAUUAAGAAAUUCCAGCUCUUCUUCUGAACACCACUGACUGGGAAGGUAGCUGAGCUACGUGGGACCAACAGCUUCUUGUGAUAUCAUGGUGGGCAACUUGACCGAUGAAGAAAUUUCUCACUGAGUGGUGGCUAGCUGCAGCCAUCAGCUUGUCUUUGUGGAAAUACAGUUAAAAGCAAUAACAGCCGCCUUUGCCCCCUGCCACGUUGCCUGCACCACGGUGAGGAAGAUGGUGGAAUGAGGGGGAGGAAGAAAUGAUGAGGGGAUGCAGAGAUGCUGCCUUGCCCCGAGUCUUCCAGUUCUGUUGCUAGAGGGAAAAAAUAUUGACAUGACCCAGAAGGUCUUGCCUCGGGGAGUCCAGCAAGUGAAAAUUGAUGGAUGUUCACUACUAAAUCCCUUUCCUUUGGGGAUGCUAUCAUGUCACAUUUCUGAAAAUAUAGGAUGCGCUCUGGAUAAUAUUUUCACAUAUGCUGAUGAAGGCAGCUGCCAAGAAUAGCAUGCUUUAAAGCAAGAAGCCAGGGGAUGUUGAGGCUGCCUCUCAACAGAAUUUGUGAGCUCUUGGUCAUCCUCCAUUCCUUCAGGGAUGUUCUGUGUUUUACCUGCUUCCCUCUGUUGCAUCCUUCCAUCGACCCUCCUUCAGAAAGUGAUGACUGCCAAUGACAAAAGCUUAGUUUUUAACUUUGUGAGGGUUAGAGAUGGCAGAUAAUAAAACUGCUCCGUUUUGAAUGAACAAACACAUACACACACACACAGAGAGAGAGAGAGAGAGAGAGAGAGAGAGAGAGAGAGAGAGAGAGAGAGAGAACCAAGCCAAACUGAAAGGCAAUUUAAGAUAUAGGAACCAAAGUCAUCCAUACUUUAUCCACCAGAAAAAAUUUCAAAUCUCUAAUUUAUUUCACCCAUCAGUGAAAUCUUUCGGAAUUCUACCUUCUAAAUUUUGCAGAAAAAAACGGAGCCAAUGUGGCCGUGCUGCCCUAGUCUGCUUUUCUAUCACUGUCAUAAAUUAUGUGAUCAAAAGAACCUUGGGGGUGGAAUGUCUUUAUGUUGUCUUUACUUCCAGGUCAAACUCAUUCCUGAGGAAGUCAGGGAAAGAGCUCUAGCAGGAACUGGAGCAUGAGCUGUGAUGUCAUGGGUGUUGACUGCGCUCCUCCCCGCAUCUGACUCCUGCUCAGAAGGGUUUUAAAUAUAGCCUAUGCCCACCUUUCUAGAGAUGGCGCCACCUACAGUGGGCUGGGUCCUCUGGCACCAAUGAAAGUCAAGACUAAGACUAAUCCUUCACAGACAUACCCACAAACCUCCAUCACUUACAGUUCCCUCUUCCCAGGUGACUUUGGAUUGUGUUAAAUUGACAAUGAAACCUAAUUAAGGGAGUUGCUAUUAUCAUUUAUUAAGCAUUCAAAGCAAUCAACGGAAUAUUUAUAUUUCACUUAAUUAUUUCUUUAUUCUUACAUAGUUGGUUAUAGAUAAAUAGAAUCAGUCAGAGGUACAACUGCAAACCCUCUUUGUUAUCCCUUGGCCUUUUUCUUUUGAUCACUCUGUGAGGAACACACUUAAGAAUAUUGGAUAUUAAUUGUUCACAGUAUUAAAACUUCGGCUAAGUUACCAUCCCAAAGAGAUUUAGCAAGUAGCCCUACAGAGACCAGUAUCUGCACUUUAAUGUGGCACAGCAUUCUUUCUUGAGGGCUUCUGAAAGACUUUCACAGGUAUAACGAGUGAUUGUGGAAAUUCAGCCCCUGUCAGUCUGAGACAAUACCAAUGGAGAACACUUGAAAAGCCUUCUGGAACCAGCUGCUCUUCUUUCUGCAUUUCUGUCUCCCACUAUAACACUUCCUCUGCCAUCUCCUGCCCCUCUUUCUCUUCUUCCUCCUCCUCCUGCUACUCCUCCUCUUUCCCUUCCUCCUGUUUCUCCUCCUCCUCUUGAGACAGGAUGUCUCUAUAUAACCUAAGAGGGCCUGAAACUUGCUAUGUAGCCCAGGCUAGCCUCAAACUCAGGAUCUUUUUGCUAUAUUUAUUAGCAUGGCAUGUUCCUCUGCCCUUCUUCUUCCUAGCAUUCUCCUAGCCUGGCUCUUUUAUCCAAUCUCUUCCUGCCCAGCUAUGGGCCAGCCAGCUUCUUUAUUAAAGCAAUCACAUCAGCAUACAUUCAGACAGUGAAAAGGAAUACUCCACAGCAACAGAAACAUAGGACAUCAUAAAUGAAUCUUUAUAUACAUGCCUACAUACAUACACACAUACAUAAAAUAGUUAUUUAUUUUCAUAGAGUUUUCCCUCUAAGGUAACUUAAUCGUAGGCUAACCUGCAAUGUCAUGUGGAAUAGGGUGGCUUCAAACUCACAGAAAUCCAUCUGCCUCUGCCUUCCAGUUCCUGGGAUUAAGUGUGUACCACUGUUUCUAGCUGUCAUAAUAAUUUUUUAAAUGUCAGAAUAUGUCAGUAUGUUGCAUGUCUUUCUCUUUAUCCAUGGAAAAUGUGAAAGUCUGGUGAUUUUUAAUUUUUCAUGAGCUCCGGUCAGGAUGUAAACUUGAUGUAGGAUCCCCUCUGUAUGCUGUAAGUUAAUAAAAAAGCUGCUUUGGGCCUAUUGCAGCACAGAAUAGGGCAAGGAGGACAUUCCAAACAGAAAGAAGAGGAAAGAGUAGGCAGAGUCAGGGAGAAGGCAUGUGGAGACAGACACCAGACGCUGGACACUGGAUGGAAUCUUACAGGUAGGCCACAGCCACGUGGUGAUACACAGAUUAAUAGAAACGGGUUAAUUUAAGAUAUAAGAGCUAGCCAAUAAAAAGAGUGAGCUAAUAGGCCAAGAAGUGUUGUAAUAAUUCAGUUUCUGUAUGAUUAUUUUGGGUCUGGGCAGCCGGAAACAAAUGAGCAGCCUCCGCCUACAUGAACUCAACAUGCUAAUUCAAGGUUGUCAGCCAACUUCCAGCCAACUGGCACCUGUGAUUAAACCUUCAGGCAUGCACUUUCCAGAGUUGCAGAGUCUUGUUUCUGUAAUGUCAACCAAGAUCCCAGAUGGAACUAAGAAAAGUCACACCUUCCUGGGGUCUUGAGACAGAUGGUGAACACACAGACCCACUAAGAUCCUGCAUGAGAGUCCAGCAGCCAGGGAUGGCAUGCUAUCUACUUUUGCAUAGCAACCAGUAGCAGCCAGGGCUGCAUAGCCUAAGCCAACACAAUAGAAAGGCACUAGUGGGCCGAUGUCCUAUGCUCUGUCACACCCCAAGUAUAGGAGGCUGUUUCCCAAAAGCUUAGCUUGGAGGACGAAGGUGAGGAGCUGUGUACUACAAAAGAAUCUAGAAUGUAUAACACUGGACAGAAGCCAGACUCAGACAACACGAACAUCUUGAGCCCAUUUAUAUAAAAGGUGUGUGCAUGCGUGCAUGCAUGCGUGUGUGUGUGUGUGUGUGUGUGUGUGUUUUGUGUAGGCCAGAAGACAACCUCAGGUGUUUUUCCUCAGACACUACGGACCUUGCUUUUUGAGACAGCAUCUCUUACUGAACCUGGAGGUCACCAAAUAGGAUAAGCUUGACCCCAGUGGCCCCCAGAUCUCUGCCUGUCUCUGUCUCUCCAGCACUAGUCUUGUAGAACUUACCACCACGCCCACCCUUGUUACAUGGGUUACGUGGAUUGAACUGCAUGCUUUCAAGGCAACAAAUCCACAGCAGACAGAGCAGCUCCCCCGCCCCACGCAUAUUAACAGUAUAUACAAAAAGACAAACCUGCUUCAGAAGAUAGAGAAAACAAAACCAGAAGACGAGUCUUUAGAUGAGGAGGGAGUGUCAUUAUUUGGAAGGUACCUUUUGGGGUAGGUGAGGGUCACAUCUUAUGAGCAAUCGCUAGGCACCGGUGACUCUUUAUGACUUACGUCUGUAAGUUUAAACCCCUUUAUUUAGACACAUAUGUCAUGUCACAAAAGUCUGUAAACGUGGAAUAGUGAGUGGUUAGGGAGAAAAUACAGACUGCCAUGUGCUUACUGCCCAAAGCCACCUCUGAAAACUUCUCGCUGUGUCUCCCUGCAAUCAAGAACAUAUCCCCCCCACCCCCCAUCUGUUUCACUCAUGGCCUGUGUCGAGUACAAUGGGGUGGCAGAGGGAGAGCUUUUGUUUGGUUGCCUUUCGGGAUUUUCCCUUGUAUUUGAA
Long non-coding RNA from Alexandromys fortis (reed vole), 5215 nucleotides. RefSeq lists it as uncharacterized. The transcript has 4 exons. The record is from RefSeq and is a predicted model, not a curated record. Lineage: Eukaryota; Metazoa; Chordata; Mammalia; Rodentia; Cricetidae.